GUUUGUACCAUGCUUUGGAAUUUAGGAAUGUUCAAUAUGAAAUAGCGCUAUAUAUAAUGUAAUACUAAGGUUAUAAUUAUUAUACUAUUAUCUUACUCUUACUUUCUUUUAAAUACAGAUUUCCUUUGGGCUCAGAAUUUCCUCUGCACAUUGACAGUGGCGCAGCAAAAUAAGUUGCAGCGUGGGAUUUUGGGAAGACAUCUCUGGCCAUCUGAAGUUAUGGGGCAUCUUUGACACAGACGGCAAUGACAAGAGUGGAGAAGAAGCUCCCUGGCUGCGCUGCACCCCUCGCUGGCACCCUCGGCCUGCUCCAUGCCCCCUGUCUCACUGCUGCUCCAGCCUUCUCAUCGUGGCCCCCACCAGGAAGACCACCAACACUGCUCCACUCACCUUCAUACCUUCACCUAUUCACCUGAACAUAAAUAAAAGAACACCUUUUUUUCCCACUACCACCACCUCCAGUGUGUCUGUGUUCUGCCUGUUGCAACCUAUAGUGGCCACAUACUCUUUAAGCAAAAUGGUGCA
Ictalurus punctatus (channel catfish) is the source of this 525-nucleotide long non-coding RNA. The record is from Ensembl. Lineage: Eukaryota; Metazoa; Chordata; Actinopteri; Siluriformes; Ictaluridae.